GGGGAAUAUUGGACAAUGGGCGCAAGCCUGAUCCAGCCAUGCCGCGUGAGUGAUGAAGGCCCUAGGGUUGUAAAGCUCUUUCACCGGUGAAGAUAAUGACGGUAACCGGAGAAGAAGCCCCGGCUAACUUCGUGCCAGCAGCCGCGGUAAUACGAAGGGGGCUAGCGUUGUUCGGAAUUACUGGGCGUAAAGCGCACGUAGGCGGAUCGGUCAGUUAGGGGUGAAAUCCCGGGGCUCAACCCCGGAACUGCCUUUAAUACUGCCGGUCUUGAGUCCGAGAGAGGUGAGUGGAAUUCCGAGUGUAGAGGUGAAAUUCGUAGAUAUUCGGAGGAACACCAGUGGCGAAGGCGGCUCACUGGCUCGGUACUGACGCUGAGGUGCGAAAGCGUGGGGAGCAAGC
This 400-nucleotide ribosomal RNA is filed under the name uncultured bacterium. RNAcentral's name for it is "bacterial SSU rRNA". It matches the Rfam family "Bacterial small subunit ribosomal RNA", at positions 356 to 773 of the family's 1533-position model. The record is from RNAcentral.